This 485-nucleotide ribosomal RNA is filed under the name uncultured bacterium. Its description in RNAcentral is "bacterial SSU rRNA". It matches the Rfam family "Bacterial small subunit ribosomal RNA", at positions 28 to 507 of the family's 1533-position model. The record is from RNAcentral.
GAUGAACGCUAGCGGCAGGCCUAACACAUGCAAGUCGAGGGGCAUCGCGGUGCAGCAAUGCACUGGCGGCGACCGGCGUACGGGUGCGUAACGCGUAUGCAACCUGCCCCGCACCGGGGGAUAGCCCGCCGAAAGGCGGAUUAAUACCCCAUGGUCCCGGGGGCCCGCAUGGGCUACCGGGUAAAGCCUUGGCGGUGCGGGAUGGGCAUGCGUGCCAUUAGCUGGCUGGUGGGGUAACGGCCCACCAGGGCGACGAUGGCUAGGGGGUCUGAGAGGAUGGUCCCCCACACUGGUACUGAGACACGGACCAGACUCCUACGGGAGGCAGCAGUGAGGAAUAUUGGUCAAUGGGCGGAAGCCUGAACCAGCCAUGCCGCGUGCGGGAUGAAGGCCCUACGGGUUGUAAACCGCUUUUCCCCGGGAAGAAUAACCCCGACGCGUCGGGGAUGCCGGUACCGGGGAAUAAGGAGUCGGCUAACUCCGUG